This 805-nucleotide long non-coding RNA is filed under the name Phasianus colchicus (ring-necked pheasant). RNAcentral's name for it is "lncRNA (ENSPCLG00000008061.1)". The record is from RNAcentral. Lineage: Eukaryota; Metazoa; Chordata; Aves; Galliformes; Phasianidae.
GGGUAAACAUGUUGGAAUGUGCAAUAGAUAAUGGAUAUGGAGGGAUGAUCUAGUCAUGCAUGCUAAACAGAUACAUUUAUGAGCAUAAAUAUAAUUAGCAUCUGGAAAUUAACAAGGCUAGAGAGAAGGGCAAUGUGUUUUUAAGUGAAGGCGAUGAAUAGGUACUGUUUGGUGUAUAUAGAUAAAUGAGAAUUUAAUUUGUGAGACAUAAUGUGCCAGGUGCCUCUAAAAUAUUUUUGUUUUCUACUGGAUAUCACAGUGGAUAAUGGUGUAACUCUUCAAGGUUGCAUCUCUUUCAUUGACCUGUGACUUGAUGUGACAGUAGAACUCAGAACAGAGGAUAUUUUCUGGAAUUUCGUGUCUGAGCAGUGCCUCAGAAAUAGAACCAAAAAAAGACUAGUGCUUCAUUGCUAACAAGAAAGUGGAGAUGACUCACUGCUACUAAAGGCUGUGGAAACUGAGCCUGCCACACCGUUAGCACUGCCACUGGCCUUGGUAUACACAAAGCAUUGCUUGCGUGGGCGCCCACAAGCACAUACGCACAGACACACACCUGGACUACAGAGAGGAAAAGGAGAAGUGAUUGAGAUGAUGGUGCUUCACAUCCCAGAGGGAGUUUCGUUUGACAGAUAAGCACCCUGAGUCAUGAGCUGAAUACGUGCCUAAAUCAUUUGGAGGUUGAAGGAAAUCCUAUCAAAGUUUUCUGUUGUGGUUGAACGUGCUGACUCAAAGCACUUAGUACAUGAACUACUGGAGAGAAAAUGUGGCUGGCAGUAAGUAGUGUGGUGGGCCAGGUGGAAAUCAG